RNAcentral lists this ribosomal RNA (497 nucleotides) under uncultured bacterium. Its description in RNAcentral is "partial 16S ribosomal RNA". It matches the Rfam family "Bacterial small subunit ribosomal RNA", at positions 28 to 507 of the family's 1533-position model. The record is from RNAcentral.
GAUGAAUGCUGGCGGCGUGCCUAAUACAUGCAAGUCGAGCGAACGGACGAGAAGCUUGCUUCUCUGAUGUUAGCGGCGGACGGGUGAGUAACACGUGGAUAACCUACCUAUAAGACUGGGAUAACUUCGGGAAACCGGAGCUAAUACCGGAUAAUAUUUUGAACCGCAUGGUUCAAAAGUGAAAGACGGUCUUGCUGUCACUUAUAGAUGGAUCCGCGCUGCAUUAGCUAGUUGGUAAGGUAACGGCUUACCAAGGCAACGAUGCAUAGCCGACCUGGGAGGGUGAUCGGCCACACUGGAACUGAGACACGGUCCAGACUCCUACGGGAGGCAGCAGUAGGGAAUCUUCCGCAAUGGGCGAAAGCCUGACGGAGCAACGCCGCGUGAGUGAUGAAGGUCUUCGGAUCGUAAAACUCUGUUAUUAGGGAAGAACAUAUGUGUAAGUAACUGUGCACAUCUUGACGGUACCUAAUCAGAAAGCCACGGCUAACUACGUG